RNAcentral lists this ribosomal RNA (436 nucleotides) under uncultured organism. RNAcentral describes it as "bacterial SSU rRNA". It matches the Rfam family "Bacterial small subunit ribosomal RNA", at positions 346 to 794 of the family's 1533-position model. The record is from RNAcentral.
GCGCAGCAGUCGAGAAUCUUCCGCAAUGGACGAAAGUCUGACGGAGCGACGCCGCGUGAUGGACGAAGUGGUUCGCCACGUAAACAUCCUUUUAUGAGGGGACGAAAUUAUUGACGGUACCUCAUGAAUAAGGGGCUCCUAACUCUGUGCCAGCAGGAGCGGUAAUACAGAGGCCCCAAGCAUUAUCCGGAAUCACUGGGCGUAAAGGGUGUCGAGGCGGUUAUGUUAGUCGUUCGUAAAAUCCGUGAGCUCAACUUACGGCCCGCGAGCGAAACGGCAUAACUAGAGGUUGGAAGAGGUGCAUGGAACUCACGGUGUAGGGGUGAAAUCCGUUGAUAUCGUGGGGAACACCAAAGGCGAAGGCAGUGCACUGGUCCAAAUCUGACGCUCACACACGAAAGCCAGGGUAGCGAACGGGAUUAGAUACCCCUGUAGU